This 116-nucleotide ribosomal RNA is filed under the name Mus pahari (shrew mouse). Lineage: Eukaryota; Metazoa; Chordata; Mammalia; Rodentia; Muridae. The record is from RNAcentral.
GUUGAUGACCAUGUCACCCUGAACAUGCCUGAUACUGUAUGAACUCAGAAGCUAAGCAGGGUUGGUUCUGGAUAGUACUUAGAUAUAAAAAGGAGUAAAGAAAUGGUAAUUAAAGU